RNAcentral lists this long non-coding RNA (694 nucleotides) under Sinocyclocheilus grahami. RNAcentral describes it as "lncRNA (ENSSGRG00000009538.1)". Lineage: Eukaryota; Metazoa; Chordata; Actinopteri; Cypriniformes; Cyprinidae. The record is from RNAcentral.
AAACCACGAAGAAGACGAAAACGAAAGUAAUGUUAAGCUGCAGAAGUAAACAAAGAAGCUACUAUUGCAAAUGAAGAUGUCAGAAUGACCAAAGGAGACAGAUCAAAUCGCUUCAAAAGUCAAACACGCAGCAGUUUAAUGGCACGGAAUAUUUUACCAGACACUGGACUUUUGUUUGGAUUCUUGCGACGUGACAAACAACUAUCGUAAAAGACAAAAAAAGUGCUUCAGAUACUUCUCAGUUCUCUUUUUAGUGCACAAGACUGUCAAACUGAACGACUGAGACUGAUUUUUACAAACCAGUGUUGAGCUGUUCAGCUGCAGUAUGACAGAGGAGCGAGGAAAGGACUCUCCGUCUGAGAUGAGUCUCUCACAGACACAGAGUGUAAGAUCAGGUUCACAUGUGUCCAGCUCUGUGUCUGUGAAGAGUGACCGUUCAAAAGGUGACAUGCCGAACCUCAGUGAGAAAAAACCAUCAUCUACCAAAAGUGUAAGAUCAGGUUCACAUGUGUCCAGCUUUGUGUCUGUGAAGAGUGAGCGUUCAAAAGGGGACAUGCCAAACUUCAGUGAGAAAAAACCAUCAACUACAAAAAGGUAUUUCAUGUGCUGUACAUUAUAGCGUUGCAUUGUUUCUCUGCUGUGUUUUUUGUGAGAGAACCAGACUGUAAGAAAUUAUAGUGUGCCUCGACCCAGC